AUCUGUGGAUCGUGGAAGAACUAGAGGAUUAAGAGGAGGAAGACUUUACUAACACAAAGGCUCUUUAAAUAUCGUGAGGAUACACCAGGAAAGAGAUGACUACCGAUCACUUUCACUCCCUGGAAGAAGUUUAUCGUUUAGCUGUGCGCAGCCUGUCAGGUCACCGACCUCUCCAAUGAUUUUUGAACCUUCUCCUGAAUACAGUGGUAAACAAGCAGCUACACCAGACACACCUGGUAAGAGAAUAACACCAUGGGAAGCAGCAGCAAAAUCUCCUCUGGGAUUGGUGGACGAUGCUUUUAUGCCGCAUGUGAUGCAUGAAACCGUUUCUGCCAAUGUUGUAUCUGCUGCACGUAGGAAAACUCUCCCAGAGCCUCCACCAGCCUGGAAAUCAUCCUCCAACGCUUCUUCUGCUCCUGGUUCAUAUCCAUUUAAAGGCAUAUCUGAGACAAAGCCAAAAGGCAUGACAUUUGCACCAAAAAGCGUAGUGCCCCUGUCUUUUCAAUGUGGUUAUCAACUCAGGUAUCCAUAUUCUAGCCAGCACUCUAUAACCAAUCCAGGCUCUGUGGCUUUGGAUACCAGGUCAGAAUAUUGUAUGUCUACAAUGCGUAAUACUAACUAUAAUGCUUUUCCUAGGGCCUGGAGACGCUAAGUAUUAACUAUAACAAUGAAACAAUUGAAUUCUUAAACUAAAGGUCUAGGAAUUAAAGUUAAGAAGGAAUCUGGUCUGGUUCCCUAGGCCUUUGUAGUAACUUGGAAUGAACUAUAAGAUAUGGACCAUGCAGAAAACCUUUUGGCACUCCAGAGCUUUAACAUAUAGAUUUAUAGUUCACAUAUUUUUCACUUUAUACAUUCAGGAUUAUUUUAGCGGGUGGAAGUGAGUGCGUAUGCAUUACCACUUUAUGGGCUCCAUUUACUAUUGGUCAGGCAGACAUGAUUCGCUACCACAAAUCAUGUCCUUCAGACCUUGCUGCAAGUGGACAGCAUACACUGUCCAUAUUUAACAUUGCAUAAGCAUUGCACCAGCUGUCAAUCAUCCGAUUAUCGGAUCAGGAUGAUUUCAAUACGCCACGGUUAAGGAGCAUCUGUCUUAAGACCGCUGCUACUUAACUAUCGUUUCAGGCCUGAAACGACGGCUUCGGAAGCAUCAAUUGCUGCUUGGCAAAUGGAGCCCUACGGCUCUAUAAUGACAAAAAGGAAAUGACGUUCACUGUAAAGUAUAACUUGUCUAUAAUAACACAUCUUAUGAUCAGGUAUAAUACAAUGCAUAUCGUGAGUUAAUGUGCUAUAGGCUGUUUAAUGAUGAACUAUUUUCCUCUGUGAAUUCAGCUGGUCCCAAUCUUUAUGUAAAUGGUUAAACUUAUAGAAGUGACAAUGCAAAUAUAGUACAUUACCUUAAACCAAA
Long non-coding RNA from Bombina bombina (fire-bellied toad), 1405 nucleotides. RefSeq lists it as uncharacterized. The record is from RefSeq and is a predicted model, not a curated record. The transcript has 2 exons. NCBI's taxonomy places the organism in Eukaryota, Metazoa, Chordata, Amphibia, Anura, Bombinatoridae.